AUCGAUAGCUCCAUACAGACGAGAGUUACAACCCGACCGACGGCUUUCGCUCCUCCGCACACAGAAGCGGGGCAGAAGCGGGGCCGAUUCCCCGCGCGCAGCUCCACGCCCCGCCCGGCGCAGCGCUGCAGAGCGGUGCCCACGCACCGACAGCUGCGGCACCCGCGUGUGGGCAGCGCCGAGCCGAGACGCGCGGCACGGGGCCGGGCGCAGGGACACCUCCGGAGCCUGACUCAGCGUCACGCACGCGGAACGGAGCCGAGUUCUCUCAACUCCCACAGCCCAGAAAGAAAACGCUUGCGGAAGGCCGUGCCCUGGGGGGGGGAGCGCGAAACACUUGGCCGAUGGGGAAAGGCAGCCCCGCCGCAGCCCGCGGCCGGUUCGGUUCUUUCUGCCGGCACGACGGAGGCCGACAGAGUAGCUUCCCACGCGCGGACGCAGAGAACCGGCACGGCCGGAGGGCACAGAGCCGCGGGCUGCGCGCCUCGAAGCGAAAGGCGAAGCGCAGGCGGCACAGCCCGCACACAGCCCGCAGAGCACGAAGCCAGGCGCGCAGGGCACAAAGGCUCGUUGAGAGCCGCCGAGCCGCGACGCCGGCCGGCACUCGAGGACUCUCCAAGCGUCCGCUCGUCGGAAACAAAAGACAGCAACAGAUGCUCGCGGCGCUCCCUCACGAAGCGAGCCCUUAUCGCUCCCGCACGCAGCCGCCACAUGGCCGCGGAGCCCAUGAAUAAUGCAGCGGGAGCUCCCGCAGAACGCCCACGACUCGCUCGGAGGGGGCGGCGGGACGGAGCGCUCAGCGCCCGCAGCACCCGGCCCGCCGCCCGACCCGACCCGACCCGGCCCGCCGCCCCCGCCGAGCUCACCUGGGGCUGCGCUCCCCCCGCGGCGUCGGGGAGGGGACGAGGCGCGGAAAGGCGACCGAGAGAACCGAGGCGGGCGUUUCCCUUCCCCGCCCCGCCGCGCAGCUCCCCCCUGGCAGCGGGGCAGGAGGCGCUGCGGGGCCGCCCCGCGCUGCUCGCGGCGCCGCCGGGGACGAGGCGCCGAGCGCGGCGGCCGCUGACAGCUCCGCAAUAUGGCGGCGGCGGCGGCGCCGUUCAGAUUUUCCCCCCUAUCGGAUUUUGCGGCUCGGGACGCGGCGCGCGUGCGCGGAGGGGAACGCGCGUGCGCGCUGGGCGGCGCGAAGCCGCUGCCCGGAGCCCCGGGCGGAGGGGCGCGGGGUUUCGGCGGCGCGGAGGGAGCUGCGCGCCGUGCUGCGGCUCCGAGGGCGGGGUGUCCCGCCGCCUCGGGGCCGGGUGGGGGGGAUGCGCUUUGCGAGGGGGGUCGGAAGGCGUCCGGGAAUAA
RNAcentral lists this long non-coding RNA (1344 nucleotides) under Phasianus colchicus (ring-necked pheasant). RNAcentral's name for it is "lncRNA (ENSPCLG00000018225.1)". Lineage: Eukaryota; Metazoa; Chordata; Aves; Galliformes; Phasianidae. The record is from RNAcentral.